AAGAAAAAGCUCAUUCUGAUGAGAGUUUUAAGUUCUUUGUGAUAGAGAAGGUAAAACCCAUUGGAGACAAUAAAAGACUUCUUCUACAAAGGGAGUCUUUCUGGACCUUUAAAUUAAACUCUGUAUUCCCCAAAGGACUGAAUGAUAGGAUUGAUUUCACCUGUUAUCUUUAGUGAAUUGAGUAUUUCAGUUCACCAUGCAAGCCAUAGGGCACUUGCAACUUGAGAAAAGACACAGAGCCCUGCAAGAGUAACGACGUAAAUUGACUACAUUGAAAAGCCUUGAACUGAAGCAGGACCAAGCAAGUAAUUAAGAUUAAAGAGACAGCAAUAAAUCCACAACAUACCGCAGAAGAUUCUGAGAAUCUCAGUAAGAAGAAAAAUACCAUACAUCAAAAGACUAUUUAAGACCUUACAUAAAUAACAACAACCUGAAGAAGGACUUCCCGAAACGAGGCAGUGUACCCGGGAUUACUUGUUGUUGCAUAGUUUUGUUCUACAUACACACAACAGCUGUGGACUGUUUUCCGUUGAGUUUGAUGUAUGCUUUACUUUAUAUGUUACUCAAUAAGGUUGUAUAAUUGUAUAUAUACCAUAAUUGUGGACUGUUUUCAGUUGGAGGUUUAUGUGUGUUUUGCUUUAUAUGUUUCACAAUAAGUUAGUACCCGGUUGGGACUGUAAAGAAAAUACUCUAUAUACUAGCAUACCACAAUACACACGCUAAAACCUA
This is a long non-coding RNA of Anolis carolinensis (green anole), 729 nucleotides long. RefSeq lists it as uncharacterized. Lineage: Eukaryota; Metazoa; Chordata; Lepidosauria; Squamata; Anolidae. The record is from RefSeq and is a predicted model, not a curated record. The transcript is spliced from 2 exons.